UGACCCGCUCCCUGCACACGAAUUCCACGAUGAACGGAAACCUCUGAAACCACAAACAAAGCAAACCUUUGUCCAUCAAGUUGUUUCUGUCAGGGGGUUCCCCACACGGUCACCAAGUCUACCAUAUAAGGGUCUUACUAUUUGGCCCUGACUGGCCCGGAACUCACUCUGUAAACCAGGCUGUCCUCAAAGUCGUUGGGAUCCACCUGAUUGAAGGCAUAUAUGCCACCCCACUCGUCAAGGAUGACCUUCGACAAUGUCACACUGACAAGGCUCCACAGGACAGGUGGCUGGGCACCACGUUUUUAUUUGUUCAUCCUGUGAUGGGCAGGACAUUUCUUUACUCUGGGCUGUGACUAUGAUGCUGCUGAAGACACAGACACUGUAGUGACUUUUUUGUCACAUACUCCAGCUAGAUUAAUUGAGCUGGGACUGUCAGCCACUUCACACAAGGGCAGAACAACAAGAUGUACAACACCCAGCUCCUUCUCAUGCCUGCCUGGACACUGACAUGCUUCCUGCCUUCAUGGACUGACCCUCUGAACCUCAUUUAUGUGCCUGUUUCUGUACACACACGGAAGUUGGGGGCAACUUGCAGAAAUCGGUUCUCUCCUUCCACGUGUGGCGUCCCCAGAGAUGAGAAGACUCAAGUCAUCAGACUAGGAAACUAGGCAGCUAGCAUCCUUGCCCAUUGAGACAUCUUAUAAGCCCAUAGGUACUAGUUUCAGUGUUUAUUUUUCCAAUAAAUAUGCUAAGAUGUUGGUGGUCAGGCAUGCUUGACAGGCAUGCUGUCAGACCCUCUACCUGGUGCCUGGCUGUCUUGCAUGGAAGACUCUCCAGCAAGAAUCCAGCUAGGCAAACCAUCAGGACAGCCUGGCUUAUCUGGACAUGCCGCAUGCAGACAGCAUAGAGGAACUGUACAGUAACCAGGGCUGCUUGCCACUGAAGCAUUAACUCUGGCUUCUGAAUGCCCUCCCCCACUUGCCAUUGGUUAAGAAGGCUCACCCUAGAUCUCGCAGCCAACGGCAACCUUGGUAAAGUUUACACCCAAGCCAAAGAGGGUCUACUUCUCCCCUCCCUCCUUCCCUUCCUCCAUGGCUUAGCAGAUGCUUCGGAUCACCUUUAAGCAGCCUCCUUUCUGGCUAAGUAAAGUGGCCAUUUAGCCCACUUUAUGAUCCUGCCUGGAGAUGUUGCUGUGCUUCCCCGCUGGUGGUUCAACUUCAGCACCAAUAAAAAGCCACUCUCAGG
Molecule: long non-coding RNA, 1248 nt
Organism: Mus musculus (house mouse)
Lineage: Eukaryota; Metazoa; Chordata; Mammalia; Rodentia; Muridae
Product: predicted gene, 40323
Exons: 5
Source: RefSeq, a predicted model, not a curated record